UUAGAAUACGUAUGAUUUGCCAAUGUUACUUCUAAUCUUUAAUAUAUAUUUUUCAUAAAACUUUUUCCACCUACCCAUCAAACACCAGAAAAUAACAAGGGUAAUUAACCGAAAUGGACAAAUAUACAUCUACGAUUUCAAAUUUCUCCCUCUACAAAGUGGACAAACGUCAACGUUGGCGUAAAUGGAAUAUUACAUAUUUGUAAAAGAAGAGUAGAAGACAGUUUGUGCACCUAUCAUAUCACGCGCUCUAUCUUUUCGCAGAAAAGGUUGUUCCUUUAAACAUCUUAUUUCGUAUAUUUUUAAUAAGCAAAGAUACCUUUUAAUUUUAAGCAUUGAAACUGCAAAUUAUUCUCCGGCUGCUGCCAGUUAUUCCACCUAACUCUAAGCGUAUCUACUGAUCUUAUUCCUAUCCUAACAACCUCGCCGUUUUCUGGUCUAGGGGGUAUUCAACCAAACUAGUUAAUCUCCAUAGAAAAUGCAGAUACAAAACAGAGGUGAUCAUGUCACCCAUGUCAUGUUUAGCUAAAAAGCUGAGUACCUAAAACAAAGACUGAAAAAAAAAGGCCCGACUUCGUGAUCCCAACAGAACAUAGCUGUAGAAGUGCGAGAAUGGGAAUCAAACAAGUUGUCGCCUUCAUGUUUAGCUAGAAAAUGAGAACAGAGAAAAUGGGAGGAAGUGUUCAUCCUUUUUCUCCUUCUACCUUAUUUUGCAGAUUCGUUUGCUUCCGUAGUUGUACUUUUACUUUCUAUCGGGCACUGGGAUACAUAAGGUUUCAGCUGAAAAAGAAAUUCAUCAAUUGCAAAGUGUUACAAACUUCACACAAAAUGAGCAAACACAAAGGUCACAAGUUUCAUAAACAUUUUCUACGAUCUAGAAAGAGAGACUAGUUUCUUUUACCUAGACUAUAGACUAUGUACAUAAUGCAGUUAUGUAAAUUCAUUAAUAAUUUCAAGAGAAGCUGAGACGGGGGAUCACUACCUUUGAAGAGGAUAGGAAAGCAGCGGCAACACAGAAUACAAGAAAGUAAAAUCUGAUUAAUGAAAAUUAAGCUCAUUUUCGGUCAUGUUUGAAAAGUCCAUGCCCUAAUCCAUGAGCUAGGAAAGUGUUAGGUCUAACCUACCUCAAGCACUACCUGUUUCAAGAUAUUAAAAGGCCUUGAAAAGAUUAAUAUAAUGGAAUAAUCCAAAGAAUGUUUUCAUUUUAGAUAACUUUUUGUAUCAAAAGCAAGUGGUGAUCUAAGCAAGUGCUGGGCCCAAACAGAAAGCAUAAGCAACAACGUGUUUCCUAGAAAGGGACUGAAAGUUAAAUAGCACUUAUUUCUUUUGAUGAAUCAGGAGUUCAUUAAUAAUACACCAAGAUAGUAUUAUCUUCACGAAAAGCGACUUGUAAAAGCUCAAGAACCUGGCAACUUCAAGCUGACCAACGUAUUAUCGAUAUCUACUUUCCAAGGCUAUUACCUCAUCUAGGAUGCGUCAUAGAAAAAGAGCAAAGACAACAAAGAGUGAAGUAAGAAAUCUAUUAUUUCAAUAGGCAGAUUUCCAGAGAGACCACAAUCUAGUUCCAAAUGUUAUAUAGUUUUUUAAUCAUCACAUGAACAGGAAAGAAGUUGCCACCGAGUGAUUUUGUUUACUCUAUGAACAGAAAUUAUAAAUAGUUCUUAGACAUGACUGAUCUAAUAUAUGCUGGCCUGUAUUACUUCACAAAGCCCUCAUGUGAAGAAACAAGGUGAUUACUUCUCCAAACCAACAAAAAUAAUAGAAGAUAAAGGAAAACAAGAUGAGUAAUGAAGAGAAUAACUACACACAGGUCCACUAGGAGCAUAACAGAAAGGAUUAUCACGCAUAGAUAUCCUAGGGAAGACUCCGAGUUUAAAAGUUGUAAAAUAUGCAUAAGGCAAAUUGACGGAAUUUUUAUCUCGUUAUCAUACACAAACAAGCUGCAAUGAAUUGGAUAUCCUCUAAAAGUUCGUCGCCA
RNAcentral lists this long non-coding RNA (1978 nucleotides) under Nicotiana benthamiana. Its description in RNAcentral is "long non-coding RNA (NBEN_LNC042654)". The record is from RNAcentral. Lineage: Eukaryota; Viridiplantae; Streptophyta; Magnoliopsida; Solanales; Solanaceae.